ACCUCCUAGAGUACCCGGCCUAUGACGUCAGCACGCUGACGUCGACGCACAGAGGUCGCAUCUCGCCCCAGGGACCAAAGACCCGGUAAGGGCCAGAGAGCCCCUAUAGCAGAGCGGCGAUUGACAUAAUAUUUUCCAUGGCAAUGCUGCAUCUCCAGCUCUUCCCUAUGAACUUCAUGUGAGCCAUGAGCUAAGCUGGACAUUGAUGUCUACCUUUCAGAUGGUUGGUGCCAUAAAAGGAACACAUGCAUGCAGGAAAAAACUAAAGGAGAUUUAGUGAAUUGAGGAGACAACUGCAGGUGAUUUAAAAGGAAGGAGUGCAAAGAAAGAGCCAAUGACACUUAAGUGGCCAAGUAGUUUACAAGCAGUCAUUAAGGAAUCAUCACUAAUAUGGUAUUAUCCUUCCCAUGUGCAAUCACAUGAGCAAGUAUAGGAGGACCAUGAGGCUGCUUCAUUCACCCAGACUCCAAUUGCAUGUAUUUCAUUUGUGUAUACAAAUCUUCCAUCACCUCUAACUGUUAAUAAGGUAAGAGGUUCUCUUUUUGUACUUUGCCAAUUACAUAUGGAACAAUCAGCCAUUGAGUAAUUUGAUCAUGUUUAUUAUAAACAGAUCACCCUUUCCCUCAUUUUGUAAUAUUACUUGGAUUUCUCCAUGGUAGUUUGGGUCUAUAACUCUCCUACAGACACAAAUUAAAGUGGAGGAAGUCUUGUUCAGGCUUCAGACGCAGGAGAGCAGGCUUCUAACCUGCUUCUGACCUGCCUGGAGACUGCUUGGAUUCCAUGUCUGCCUGCAAGCACAGCAAGUUAGGUGGCACUUUAGAUAAGAAAGAGAGUGUGUCUUGGAAUUCUUGAGCCCCUGAGGGUCUGGCCAAGCCCCUGGAGUCUAAAGAAAUCCUAUGACUUACCAAAUGAAACAAUCAGCAUUGUAAUAGUUAAAAUAAAAACAAAACAGAGCUGCAUUUUUGCAUGCAAACUGAUGAUAUCAGCUUGUGGCCUGAGAUUAUAAGUGGGUGUUCCCAAAACUACAGUUUGAAGUAUCAACCAUGAGAUGGAUGCACUGCUGGGGACCUUUUCCUAAUUGGGACUCCAGAUUGCCGUUAACAAGGGACUUCUCAGCACUGUUUAAGUCUGGAUGUUGGUCAGCCCAAUUUGGUGAUGUAUAUAUAUGCUGUUACUUUUCUCUAUUAUUUCUUUCUUUUCUUUUAAUGACUGUAUACUGAAAUUAAGUCAAUUAAUUCUCUCUUAAAUAUUGAAAUUGUUUAUUGUUCAUGAUAAGUGGUUUCUUUUGUUAAUCUUUCAAACCUAAAACAAAAAUUAAACUUUCAGCCAAACAUAGGCGUUUUAGGUAGUUUAGGAUAGAAGAUGUAAGUAAACAGCUAUGUUUACCUUCUCCUACUCUUACAGGACAACCAUCCCUGAAAGCAUUAGAAAUAAAACACAAAACAAGCCUCCUGAGGAGGAGAGAUACUUCAGCAAGAAUAUUUUAGUUCUGACACUCUUCAUAAGAUCCAGAAGCCUAGAGACACAAAGUUUAGGUUUGAUGAGAAUAAAAGAAUGGGCAACUACUAAGAAACUAUGGUACUUAAAAAAUGCUUUUACUAAACAUUUGGCCACCUGUUAGGAAUUCUUAAGAGUUGAGCUUGAAUGAAAUUUUGUCAGAGAUACUGGUAGAAAUUAUAGUGAUGAAAAACUAACAUCAAAACUAACAACAACAACAAAAAUAAGCAUUAGUAUGGGCUAUUCAACAAUAGUUUUUCUAAAAGUGUUGGCAUUUAGAUGUGGAAAGUUAACUACCUGCCACGUAUAGCUACUUAUACCAGAACUACCCCUAUUAGGGGCUUCCCUGGUGGCUUGGAUGGUAACAAAUCUGCCUGCAAUGCAGGAGAACUGAGUUUUAUGCCCAGGUCGGGAAGAUCUCCUGAAGAAGGGUAUG
Bubalus bubalis (water buffalo) is the source of this 1933-nucleotide long non-coding RNA. RefSeq lists it as uncharacterized. The transcript has 5 exons. NCBI's taxonomy places the organism in Eukaryota, Metazoa, Chordata, Mammalia, Artiodactyla, Bovidae. The record is from RefSeq and is a predicted model, not a curated record.